GAUGAACGCUAGCGGCAGGCCUAAUACAUGCAAGUCGAACGGGCGGUAGCAAUACCGCUAGUGGCGCACGGGUGCGUAACGCGUAACCAACCUGCCCAGAUCUGGGGGAUAGCCCGCCGAAAGGCGGAUUAAUACCGCAUAAACCCACAGUGUGGCAUCACAUAAUGGGUAAAGAUUUAUCGGAUCUGGAUGGGGUUGCGUAGCAUUAGCUAGUUGGCGGGGUAAUGGCCCACCAAGGCGACGAUGCUUAGGGGACCUGAGAGGGUGAUCCCCCGCACUGGCACUGAGAUACGGGCCAGACUCCUACGGGAGGCAGCAGUAGGGAAUAUUGGGCAAUGGGCGAGAGCCUGACCCAGCCAUGCCGCGUGCCGGAUGAAGGCCUUCUGGGUUGUAAACGGCUUUUCUCAGGGAAGAAAACGGGGAUGCGUCCUCAACUGACGGUACCUGAGGAAUAAGCACCGGCGAACUCCGU
RNAcentral lists this ribosomal RNA (472 nucleotides) under uncultured bacterium. Its description in RNAcentral is "partial 16S ribosomal RNA". It matches the Rfam family "Bacterial small subunit ribosomal RNA", at positions 28 to 506 of the family's 1533-position model. The record is from RNAcentral.